This 91-nucleotide transfer RNA is filed under the name Tautonia sociabilis. Its description in RNAcentral is "Isosphaeraceae bacterium GM2012 tRNA-Ser". It matches the Rfam family "tRNA". Rfam says of the family: Transfer RNA (tRNA) molecules are approximately 80 nucleotides in length. Their secondary structure includes four short double-helical elements and three loops (D, anti-codon, and T loops). Lineage: Bacteria; Pseudomonadati; Planctomycetota; Planctomycetia; Isosphaerales; Isosphaeraceae. The record is from RNAcentral.
GGAGGAGUGCCUGAGUGGUUGAAAGGGCCGGUCUCGAAAACCGGUGUACCGGUCUCCGGUACCGUGGGUUCGAAUCCCACCUCCUCCGCUA